CUAGUUCCACAAGAGGCGCCAUUACCACGGUCGAUUUUGGGUCGUGACACAUGAUUUAUAGACUUGCCUCAUCCUCUUCUUCAAAAAUAUAGCACUAUACGAUCAACAAGUAUAAAUAGUAGCAAGAAUGUGAAGGUCGUAAAACAGAGUAGAGGAAUAAAAGAUACAAUUCACAAUAUGACACUAGUUUCAUCAAUUUCAAUCUCCUCCAUAGUUUUUCCAAUUCAUCGAGAAAAUCAAGAAUCUUCAAAUAAACUUAAUUGGUUGUGCAUUUGGAAUUACACAGCAGGUCCAACCCUACUAGAAACAUGUAAAACAGUCAUGCCAUGAUCAUAAUUAUAAGCUGCAAGAAAUAUUGGACCAUUGCUAGGGAAAAAAAAGAUGCAUUCAGUAAUGCAUAGUGUUAGAACAUAAACAAUAGCCUUCUUCCUUGAGUUUCCUCCUAGGCUGCCUAACAUAAAGAAGGAUAAAGGUAGGACAUAAUUUUAAAUAUUUAAUUAUUAUUCCUAAUUGAUUAGAGAACAAUCCACCUUAGUUGCAACAGAAAUAAUCAAGUUCUCCGUAUACGAAAUUUGUAAAGAGUAAUUUCUUUCUUUAUGCUAAGUUAAAACCUUUUUCUCAAAUCAAGUCCUGGUGAAUACAAUGAAAUUGCAAAUGACUAAGUGAUCUUUAACAAAAUCAGUAGAUCAAGUGAAUUAUAUAGUUUUGUUUUAAUGGUUUCCGAUAAUCCAGUAUGCGUCUCAAUCUAAAAUUAGAUUCUCAACCACCCUGUCAUUGAUAAUCGACUUCCAAUUAGGCAAAUUUAGCAGAACCUCAAACAAGAGAACCAGAGGCAGCAAAUAUAGACGUAAUCCUAGCCAGAAUCCUUCCAAGAUGAAAUAAGCUAAAAUAGCAAUGUUUUGUUUCCCCAUAACACUUCAUACAAGAUCUUUCCUUAAAGUAUGUCAUGUAAUAAGGAAGAUAAGAUACUACACUAAAUAUCAACAGCUCCGGUAUUUAAGACAAGUAUCUAUAAACUGAUUGACUUAUAGAAACUGGGCUUAUGGGUCAAGAAAAUAUAUACUAUGACCUGCUGCAUUUGGUACGACUUUCUCUUUGCAGAUCAAAGGUUUCAUUUCUUAUUGGUUAAUAUAUGGAUAUUUCUUUUUAUGUGUUUAAAUCCCUACUGUACAUUCAACAAUAAAGGUUUCUAUUAAAGCAGAGAAUUACCUCUUUUUCUCCAUCUCAUGUUUCAGUGUAUUAGCAAGAGUUUUCUCUCCACACUUGCGAUAUCCUGGGACAAAAGAAAGAGCCUUUACUUUAUGUAAAGCUCACACAUUCUAACAACGCAAGUAUAAUUGGUAGCACCCAAAUAUACAAGUGGAACUACCAACCUGCACUAGCAGCUUAUAAAAAAGUAGUGAUUGAAUGAUAAUUGGUAGUACAAGUAAGGCUUUAUGGAUGCACGACACACAGAUUUAUUCUUGAAAUCCCUUAAAUAUUGCAAAGAGUUUCUUCUUCUGGUGUUUUGUCACUUGUAAUUACUACAACACUCUGAUAAAAAAAAAUGCUUCAUCAUUUCAUUAGUGCUAGCUUUAUAAUACAAUUAGUUUUCUCUAAACAUGGAUUUACUUCUUGAACCUCAAUAUUCCUUAGUGAAAGACACUAAGAUUUAUCAAUAAAACUAAGGAACAAAAGGGUCACUAUAGUUUUAAUUUUAAAAAGGCAACUAAUCCUCUUAUGCUCCUAGUUGAAAUCACAGUAAUGAUUAGAUUUCACUUAAUUUUCUAAGAGAACAGAUAACACCUAAUCUCACAAAACAUUCAAUUCCUUGGAACCCAAAAUAUUUAUUGAAACAAGAAACAAACACAAUAUCUUCCUCAAGAUGAACAAUAGUAAUACUCACAUCACUAGAUGUAACUAUUUCCACUCUGAGUUUCCAUCACUAUUGAUUUUAAAAUCAGUACAAUUGAAUUGCAUUAAUUCAAUUUUCAAACAUAGAUGCUAAAAAUAUGAAUUUAGACAGAGCAGGAACUAACUUACAAUGAGAUGUGAGAAUCAAAGUAACAUAACCAAAGAGAGAUCCGCAAAGCCAGAAGUAGCCUAUUCUUUAGUAGUAUUACAACCCAAAAAAUAUAGCCAAAGUAGCUGCUAAAAACUACAUCUAUCCCAAUUCCAAAAAGCACAAAUAUACCAAAAAAUAAGUAAAUUAUAGUCACGAUCUGCUUGUGAAUCUACAAUCAAUAGAAAGGAACAUAAUUAAAAAAAGGUAAAAUAGAAAUACCAACCGUAUAAGAGAUGAGACCAUUGAUUAGACUGGAAUGGAGCUAUAAGUACUGAUGUGGAUGAACCACACUAUCUUUAUUUAGAACCUGUAAGAAAAUGGUUAAUUUGUUGCCCUAAUUUUUUCUUUGAAAAAUUUGUCGAUGCUGAUUAGGACAUGCUAACUAAAAACCUAAAUCGAAGCAUUCAAGGAAUUGAAACCCUAAAUUAGAAACAACUAAAACUAGAGAUGAAGGAGCUUACGAUUUCAAGCCAUAGCCCCAACACUGGAAGAUAAGGUUGUCGCUCAUUUGAACCUCUUAACACAAAGCACGAGUCCAAGGGUUGAACUAAUUGGGGAAGGUGAGAGCCAAAAUAAAAAUAAAAAAGGGCAGGUAUUCUUUAGGAGGCCACAAGUCAAAUAAUUUAUUGAGAAAAAUAAAUAUUUUACCAACAAGAAAAU
This 2704-nucleotide long non-coding RNA is filed under the name Nicotiana tabacum (common tobacco). RNAcentral describes it as "long non-coding RNA (NTAB_LNC003343)". Lineage: Eukaryota; Viridiplantae; Streptophyta; Magnoliopsida; Solanales; Solanaceae. The record is from RNAcentral.